GCGCUCGUAGUUCAAUGGAUAGAGCGUCAGCCUCCGAAGCUGGAAAUGUGGGUUCGACUCCCGCCGAGCGCACCA
This 75-nucleotide transfer RNA is filed under the name Candidatus Avelusimicrobium gallicola. RNAcentral describes it as "tRNA-Arg". It matches the Rfam family "tRNA". Rfam says of the family: Transfer RNA (tRNA) molecules are approximately 80 nucleotides in length. Their secondary structure includes four short double-helical elements and three loops (D, anti-codon, and T loops). Lineage: Bacteria; Pseudomonadati; Elusimicrobiota; Elusimicrobia; Elusimicrobiales; Elusimicrobiaceae. The record is from RNAcentral.